This 326-nucleotide unclassified non-coding RNA is filed under the name fungal sp. Its description in RNAcentral is "partial internal transcribed spacer region". The stretch from base 1 to 46 matches the Rfam family "Eukaryotic small subunit ribosomal RNA", at positions 1786 to 1831 of the family's 1831-position model. Lineage: Eukaryota; Fungi. The record is from RNAcentral.
AAGUCGUAACAAGGUUUCCGUAGGUGAACCUGCGGAAGGAUCAUUAACACUUUGUUAACCCAAUACCAACCCAAUGUGAACUGUAGCGUCCCUAUCCAUUAUUAGUAGUAGGUUUCGGCUUAUGAAAGUUAGUGCGGUAGACAAUACCCUCUUAGUAGUCAUCCAGGCAAGGCCUAAAAAUCUUGUUUGUGAUGAUGAACAUAUAUUAACCACUUUAACCCUAUAAUUUACAAUUGUCUAAUCUUCAUAAACUUAUAAACUGCUUCGGUGGUUAAUAGGAUUUACGAAAUAUUGAACAACUCUUAGCAAUGGAUAUCUUGGGUCAU